CAGGAACAGAUGUUCUGGCUGGAAGCUCCAGGUGGUGGGAGAGCUGAGGAAUUCGGGAGUGGCUAGAGGCUGGAGGAGGCAGCACUCCACAGAUCAGCACCACCCCCACCCUGACUUUCCAGAGAAACAACCUCAGGCUCUAGAGCUGGUAAACCGCUGUGCUGGUGCGAGAAGCAUAGGAAGCCAGGGUGCUCUGAGUCAGGAAGGGCUGUGUGAGAGGAGGGCAUCAUGAGGAAGGAGUCAGAGCAAGGAAACUCAACCCAGCUUCCAUCCCAGAAGAAGCUGGGCUGACCUGUGGGGAACAGGCUGCAAGUUCAUGAGGUUGGAAGCUCUGAGGUCACUAGACUAGAUGACGAGCUGUGCAGAGGUCACCUUGGGGCCUUUAUCAUCCAGAUUGGCAGAAACAUGGGAUCUCUCUGGAGAGUUCAUCCCAAGUACCACAGAAGACAGCAGUGAUAAGUCAGAGGGGGUGAGGGCAGUUUCCGGCUCCAGCUUCAAAAGAACAAAUACUCAAAACAAAGGAAGUGGUCCUCAACCACAGGAAGCAGGAAGUGUCUGCUAG
This 562-nucleotide long non-coding RNA is filed under the name Cricetulus griseus (Chinese hamster). Its description in RNAcentral is "lncRNA (ENSCGRG00000026413.1)". Lineage: Eukaryota; Metazoa; Chordata; Mammalia; Rodentia; Cricetidae. The record is from RNAcentral.